RNAcentral lists this ribosomal RNA (507 nucleotides) under uncultured bacterium. RNAcentral's name for it is "bacterial SSU rRNA". It matches the Rfam family "Bacterial small subunit ribosomal RNA", at positions 28 to 528 of the family's 1533-position model. The record is from RNAcentral.
GAUGAACGCUAGCGGGAGGCUUAACACAUGCAAGUCGAGGGGCAGCAUAAGGUAGCAAUACUUUGAUGGCGACCGGCGCACGGGUGAGUAACGCGUAUGUAACCUGUCCUUAACAGGAGGAUAACCCGGAGAAAUUCGGACUAAUACUGCAUAAAAUUAUAAAUAGGCAUCUAUUAAUAAUUAAAGCUACGGCGGUUAGGGAGGGGCAUGCGUAACAUUAGCUGGUUGGUAGGGUAACGGCCUACCAAGGCAAUGAUGUUUAGGGGACCUGAGAGGGUGACCCCCCACACUGGUACUGAGACACGGACCAGACUCCUACGGGAGGCAGCAGUGAGGAAUAUUGGUCAAUGGGCGGCAGCCUGAACCAGCCAUCCCGCGUGAAGGAAGAAUGCGCUAUGCGUUGUAAACUUCUUUUUCAGGGGGAUAAAAUUCUGUAUGUAUACAGGACUGAAGGUACCCUGAGAAUAAGCAUCGGCUAACUCCGUGCCAGCAGCCGCGGUAAACUGU